UACGUAGGCAGCAAGCGUUGUUCGGAGUUACUGGGCGUAAAGAGUGCGUAGGCGGUUUCGCAAGUUUGGUGUGAAAUCUCCCGGCUUAACUGGGAGGGUGCGCCGAAAACUGCGGGGCUGGAGUGUGGGAGAGGUAGGCGGAAUUCCUGGUGUAGCGGUGAAAUGCGUAGAUAUCAGGAGGAACACCGGUGGUGUAGACGGCUCACUGGACCGUAACUGACGCUGAGACACGAAAGCGUGGGUAGCAAACAGG
This 253-nucleotide ribosomal RNA is filed under the name uncultured bacterium. Its description in RNAcentral is "partial 16S ribosomal RNA". It matches the Rfam family "Bacterial small subunit ribosomal RNA", at positions 524 to 776 of the family's 1533-position model. The record is from RNAcentral.